UUAUUAUUCUUAUUCUUCCGUAAAAUAAAUUGGCUUUUUGGGGGCUUUAUCAUAUUCAAAAACUCACCAAACUUGGCGGGGGCAUAGAGCCCGGUGAAAAUUUACGUAUUUUAAGGUCCCCAGAAAAAUCGCACAAGAAACGGCUCAAGGGCGCCACCUAGCAACUUUCAAAAGACCCUUUCCUAUUCACUUACUUUAUCGUAGAGACUUGAAAUUCGGUACG
This is a long non-coding RNA of Poecilia latipinna (sailfin molly), 223 nucleotides long. RefSeq lists it as uncharacterized. NCBI's taxonomy places the organism in Eukaryota, Metazoa, Chordata, Actinopteri, Cyprinodontiformes, Poeciliidae. The transcript has 3 exons. The record is from RefSeq and is a predicted model, not a curated record.